CCAGGAGUUCCUGAGGAGUCCAGGACAGGGAGUGAGGGCUCGGAAACGGCGGACGGCACGAUCCCGGCCGAGGACGGCGUCCAGCCAGGAGUUCCUGAGGAGUCCAGGACAGGGAGUGAGGGUGAGGA
Molecule: long non-coding RNA, 128 nt
Organism: Mobula hypostoma (lesser devil ray)
Lineage: Eukaryota; Metazoa; Chordata; Chondrichthyes; Myliobatiformes; Myliobatidae
Exons: 3
Source: RefSeq, a predicted model, not a curated record